UACGUAGGGGGCAAGCGUUAUCCGGAUUCACUGGGUGUAAAGGGAGCGUAGACGGCGAGACAAGUCUGGAGUGAAAGGCCGGGGCCCAACCCCGGGACUGCUCUGGAAACUGCCUGGCUGGAGUACAGGAGGGGUAAGUGGAAUUCCUAGUGUAGCGGUGAAAUGCGUAGAUAUUAGGAGGAACACCAGUGGCGAAGGCGGCUUACUGGACUGUAACUGACGUUGAGGCUCGAAAGCGUGGGGAGCAAACAGG
This 253-nucleotide ribosomal RNA is filed under the name uncultured bacterium. Its description in RNAcentral is "partial 16S ribosomal RNA". It matches the Rfam family "Bacterial small subunit ribosomal RNA", at positions 524 to 776 of the family's 1533-position model. The record is from RNAcentral.